AACAAUCUUCACGGAUAAGGUGCCCCAUAACAGGGGGUAAAAGGGAAUGUCGUGCGGCGCUUACGUUAAGCGCCAAAUCGACAGCUGCUCCCGCAACUGUCAGCGGAUAGCCGACGGCCAUAAUGCCACUCUUGCAAAAGGGGAAGGCGGCCAGAGGCAGCGACCCGCAAGCCAGGAAACCUGCCUUGACCGGUCGUUUUUU
RNAcentral lists this non-coding RNA (202 nucleotides) under Hyphomicrobiales bacterium. The record is from RNAcentral. Lineage: Bacteria; Pseudomonadati; Pseudomonadota; Alphaproteobacteria; Hyphomicrobiales.